GCAAGUCGAGCGCUUUCCUUCGGGAAGGAGCGGCGGACGGGUUAGUAACGCGUGGGAAUAUACCCUUUUCUACGGAAUAGCCUCGGGAAACUGAGAGUAAUACCGUAUACGCCCUUCGGGGGAAAGAUUUAUCGGUGAAGGAUUAGCCCGCGUAAGAUUAGAUAGUUGGUGGGGUAAUGGCCUACCAAGUCUACGAUCUUUAGCUGGUUUGAGAGGAUGAUC
This 222-nucleotide ribosomal RNA is filed under the name uncultured bacterium. RNAcentral's name for it is "partial 16S ribosomal RNA". It matches the Rfam family "Bacterial small subunit ribosomal RNA", at positions 57 to 305 of the family's 1533-position model. The record is from RNAcentral.